GCCAGCCGCUCAGUCAGAGUUUGAUCCUGGCUCGGAGUGAACGCUGGCGGUAGGCCUAACACAUGCAAGUCGAACGGCAGCACAGAGGAGCUUGCUCCUUGGGUGGCGAGUGGCGGACGGGUGAGGAAUACACCGGAAUCUACUCUGUCGUGGGGGAUAACGUAGGGAAACUUACGCUAAUACCGCAUACGACCUACGGGUGAAAGCAGGGGACCUUCGGGCCUUGCGCGAUUGAAUGAGCCGAUGUCGGAUUAGCUAGUUGGCGGGGUAAAGGCCCACCAAGGCGACGAUCCGUAGCUGGUCUGAGAGGAUGAUCAGCCACACUGGAACUGAGACACGGUCCAG
RNAcentral lists this ribosomal RNA (345 nucleotides) under uncultured bacterium. RNAcentral describes it as "bacterial SSU rRNA". It matches the Rfam family "Bacterial small subunit ribosomal RNA", at positions 1 to 334 of the family's 1533-position model. The record is from RNAcentral.